RNAcentral lists this ribosomal RNA (481 nucleotides) under uncultured bacterium. Its description in RNAcentral is "bacterial SSU rRNA". It matches the Rfam family "Bacterial small subunit ribosomal RNA", at positions 501 to 985 of the family's 1533-position model. The record is from RNAcentral.
CUACGUGCCAGCAGCCGCGGUAAUACGGAAGGUCCAGGCGUUAUCCGGAUUUAUUGGGUUUAAAGGGAGUGUAGGCGGUCUGUUAAGCGUGUUGUGAAAUUUAGGUGCUCAACAUCUACCUUGCAGCGCGAACUGGCGGACUUGAGUGCACGCAACGUAUGCGGAAUUCAUGGUGUAGCGGUGAAAUGCUUAGAUAUCAUGACGAACUCCGAUUGCGAAGGCAGCGUACGGGAGUGUUACUGACGCUUAAGCUCGAAGGUGCGGGUAUCGAACAGGAUUAGAUACCCUGGUAGUCCGCACGGUAAACGAUGGAUGCCCGCUGUUAGCGCCUGGCGUUAGCGGCUAAGCGAAAGCAUUAAGCAUCCCACCUGGGGAGUACGCCGGCAACGGUGAAACUCAAAGGAAUUGACGGGGGCCCGCACAAGCGGAGGAACAUGUGGUUUAAUUCGAUGAUACGCGAGRAACCUUACCCGGGCUUGAA